Molecule: ribosomal RNA, 1297 nt
Filed under: Salmonella enterica
Lineage: Bacteria; Pseudomonadati; Pseudomonadota; Gammaproteobacteria; Enterobacterales; Enterobacteriaceae
Description: bacterial SSU rRNA
Rfam family: Bacterial small subunit ribosomal RNA
Source: RNAcentral
AUGUGCCCAGAUGGGAUUAGCUUGUUGGUGAGGUAACGGCUCACCAAGGCGACGAUCCCUAGCUGGUCUGAGAGGAUGACCAGCCACACUGGAACUGAGACACGGUCCAGACUCCUACGGGAGGCAGCAGUGGGGAAUAUUGCACAAUGGGCGCAAGCCUGAUGCAGCCAUGCCGCGUGUAUGAAGAAGGCCUUCGGGUUGUAAAGUACUUUCAGCGGGGAGGAAGGUGUUGCGGUUAAUAACCGCAGCAAUUGACGUUACCCGCAGAAGAAGCACCGGCUAACUCCGUGCCAGCAGCCGCGGUAAUACGGAGGGUGCAAGCGUUAAUCGGAAUUACUGGGCGUAAAGCGCACGCAGGCGGUCUGUCAAGUCGGAUGUGAAAUCCCCGGGCUCAACCUGGGAACUGCAUUCGAAACUGGCAGGCUUGAGUCUUGUAGAGGGGGGUAGAAUUCCAGGUGUAGCGGUGAAAUGCGUAGAGAUCUGGAGGAAUACCGGUGGCGAAGGCGGCCCCCUGGACAAAGACUGACGCUCAGGUGCGAAAGCGUGGGGAGCAAACAGGAUUAGAUACCCUGGUAGUCCACGCCGUAAACGAUGUCUACUUGGAGGUUGUGCCCUUGAGGCGUGGCUUCCGGAGCUAACGCGUUAAGUAGACCGCCUGGGGAGUACGGCCGCAAGGUUAAAACUCAAAUGAAUUGACGGGGGCCCGCACAAGCGGUGGAGCAUGUGGUUUAAUUCGAUGCAACGCGAAGAACCUUACCUGGUCUUGACAUCCACAGAACUUUCCAGAGAUGGAUUGGUGCCUUCGGGAACUGUGAGACAGGUGCUGCAUGGCUGUCGUCAGCUCGUGUUGUGAAAUGUUGGGUUAAGUCCCGCAACGAGCGCAACCCUUAUCCUUUGUUGCCAGCGGUCCGGCCGGGAACUCAAAGGAGACUGCCAGUGAUAAACUGGAGGAAGGUGGGGAUGACGUCAAGUCAUCAUGGCCCUUACGACCAGGGCUACACACGUGCUACAAUGGCGCAUACAAAGAGAAGCGACCUCGCGAGAGCAAGCGGACCUCAUAAAGUGCGUCGUAGUCCGGAUUGGAGUCUGCAACUCGACUCCAUGAAGUCGGAAUCGCUAGUAAUCGUGGAUCAGAAUGCCACGGUGAAUACGUUCCCGGGCCUUGUACACACCGCCCGUCACACCAUGGGAGUGGGUUGCAAAAGAAGUAGGUAGCUUAACCUUCGGGAGGGCGCUUACCACUUUGUGAUUCAUGACUGGGGUGAAGUCGUAACAAGGUAACCGUAGGGGAACCUGC